Molecule: non-coding RNA, 110 nt
Organism: Mycena olivaceomarginata
Lineage: Eukaryota; Fungi; Basidiomycota; Agaricomycetes; Agaricales; Mycenaceae
Source: the annotation of a GenBank genome assembly
GACCUCUUGGCUCAGUGGUAGAGCAUCUGAUUCCAGUGACACGUGACCCUAGCACUGAGCCAUCGUGCUGUGUCUCCAGAAGGUCGUCCGUUCGAUCCGGGCAGAGGUCA